GUGCUCGCUUUGGCAGCAUAUAUACUAACACUGGAAUGAUACAGAGAAGAUUAGCAUGGCCCCUGGGCAAGGAUGACACACAAAUUCAUGAAGCAUUCCAGAUUUUG
This 107-nucleotide small nuclear RNA is filed under the name Camelus bactrianus (Bactrian camel). The record is from RNAcentral. Lineage: Eukaryota; Metazoa; Chordata; Mammalia; Artiodactyla; Camelidae. RNAcentral also lists the same sequence under 1 other name.